GCAAACUAAAGUACAAACUAAGUAUGUAGGGCCUCUUUGCGGAGCUCUUGCGGACGCGGGUUCAAUUCCCGCCACCUCCACCA
Molecule: transfer-messenger RNA, 83 nt
Filed under: Pseudobdellovibrionaceae bacterium
Lineage: Bacteria; Pseudomonadati; Bdellovibrionota; Bdellovibrionia; Bdellovibrionales; Pseudobdellovibrionaceae
Description: Bdellovibrionaceae bacterium (glacier metagenome) partial transfer-messenger RNA
Rfam family: transfer-messenger RNA
About the family: Bacterial tmRNA, also known as 10Sa RNA or SsrA, is named for its dual tRNA and mRNA-like properties. Its role is to liberate the mRNA from a stalled ribosome.
Source: RNAcentral